Molecule: unclassified non-coding RNA, 336 nt
Filed under: soil metagenome
Description: partial contains 5.8S ribosomal RNA, internal transcribed spacer 2, and large subunit ribosomal RNA
Rfam family: 5.8S ribosomal RNA (bases 1-120)
Source: RNAcentral
GAUGAAGAACGUAGCGAAAUGCGAUAAGUAGUGUGAAUUGCAGAAUUCAGUGAAUCAUCGAAUCUUUGAACGCACAUUGCGCCCCUUGGUAUUCCAUGGGGCAUGCCUGUUCGAGCGUCAUUUGUACCUUCAAGCUUUGCUUGGUGUUGGGUGUUUGUCUCGCCUUUGCGUGUAGACUCGCCUUAAAAUAAUUGGCAGCCGGCGUAUUGAUUUCGGAGCGCAGUACAUCUCGCGCUUUGCACUCAUAACGACAGCGUCCAAAAGUACAUUUUACACUCUUGACCUCGGAUCAGGUAGGGAUACCCGCUGAACUUAAGAAUAUCAAUAAGCCGAGGA